Nyctereutes procyonoides (raccoon dog) is the source of this 947-nucleotide long non-coding RNA. RefSeq lists it as uncharacterized. Lineage: Eukaryota; Metazoa; Chordata; Mammalia; Carnivora; Canidae. The transcript is spliced from 3 exons. The record is from RefSeq and is a predicted model, not a curated record.
AUUCUAAUCUGUGAUUUUAUUAUUUAAGAUUCAUUUAUUUAUUAUCAUAGAACUAUAACUAAUUAGACGUGGCAAGAAUGCAACAAUAAAAAAAAUGCAACAAUAGCAAAAUGUAAGCAUUGUUUUGCCUAACCUGUGAAUUCAUUGCAAUGAUUAUGUGAGAAGUUAUACAAUAAAAUAAUUUAAAGAUCUAUUGAAAAUCAUUAAAAUGAAUAACCCAAGAUAAAUUAUCCUUUUAGGAAUUUUUGGCAGAAAACAAAAAACUAUUACUGUCAAAUGGGUAUAAUCAAUAUUCCUCUUUCAAAAUGAUCUGUAAUUCUUUUGUCUUGAGUUAACUCAGUUGUGGGAAUCAACACCUGGAGAAUGUAAUGGGGGUAAGACAUUACAUGUGGGAGUAAAGAAAGCAUUAAAAGGCUUUAAGAAUUGGGGGUACGAGGUAGGAAAUUCAUGUGCUCUAUAGAGGAUCAUCUAGCUUAUGAUUAUGAAGUAUUUCAUACAUUCUUAAUUCUGUAGCUGAGCUAAGACCUAUUUCUUCAACUCUGUAUGUCCUUUCUUUUCAAAGCUUUCUGACAAUUCUCCCUCCCUUUUUCUCCCUCUCUCCAUGCCUGCUUUUGUUGGGGACAAUAUGAGUGCUGAUGGGAAGCAGUGAAUAGAAACAAUAUGAUGAACAUAGUCCAAUCUACACUUAAAGAGGACAUGGCCCGAGCCAAACACAGGAUCCUAUUUCCAAGAACACCUGUCGCUUCAUGGAUCAAAUAUGUCACCAGUCUAGAGUCUGCAGUUUAGAACUGGAGAAACAUGGUCCUUGAGGUUCUUGAAAUAGGUCCCAUCCCUUUAUUGUGUCUGGUACUAUUAAAUUUCCCCUUUGACAAUGGAUUCUACAAGCAUGCAUGACGUGGGGGUCUUUGUGCAGUUGGUUUCAAUGGAAAAAGGACACUUACAUGUAU